UAAAGGAAGAGAUGGAAAUUAGUAGAAAAAAUAUUAAAAACUUAGAGGAUCAGUCUGGGACAUCUGACAUUCAAAUAACAGGGUGUCCAAAACAGAAAAUAGAAAACAAAGAAUAGAAUGUUUUUAACUGCAAGAAAAAUGAACAGAAUUGGAUGACAGAAAACCCCUAGAUGACAAGGACCCACUGGGUGCCCUUUGAAUAAAUGAAUGAAAAAAAACUGCCCAUCCAUGUUCAUCAUUAUGAAAUUUUGAAGCACCUAGGCUAAAAAGACCUUCCUAAAAACUUGUGGAGAGAAAAGUCGGGGUUAAAUAAAAUAAGAAUUGGAAUUUUGGACUUCUCAAUAGCAACAUUGGAUGCUAUAAUAGAAGACAAAGUCUUCGAAAUUGUACAGGCAAAGUAUUUUCAAUUUAGAAUUUACACCAGCCAAAUAAUCAAGUGGGAGGGAGAAUAAAGACAUUUUCAGCAUGGAAGGACACAAAGCACUCCCUCUCAGAAACCUUUUCUUUCUGAAAUGAAUAUGUGGUCCAACAAACCACAAUCAAGAAAAACGUGGCAGAAAAUAGGGAUUUUAACACAGGAGAUGGGUGAAGGGAGUUCUAGGAUGGUAGGUGGGCAUUUGAAUUCAAGAACUAGCAGUUGAGGUGUAAGCAGGGAAAGUAAUGGAAGAAACAUCCCAAGCGUACAAAAGGAAAUGAUAAUCAUCUUAUUAUCAUGCCAGAGCUUUUAGAGAAAAAAAGUCUCAGCGUUCCGAACAGCUGAUGGUACACUUAGAAAUUUUUUACGGUUCAACAUAUAAAAAGCUAUGCAACAGAUAAAAAUAAGGCAAUUAUUAAUUUUUAAAAGUAUGUUUAAAAACAUAGUAUACUAGUUAGCCCUAGAAACUAUACUAAACUAUAUUUAUGUAGCCAUAAAAAUGUAAAUACUAUGAUUAUGAUUGCUAAAACAUCAGUGGGGGGGAGAGGAUAGUAGAGGGAGAGUUAAAUCCUCAUCUACCAUAAUUAGAAGUUAUUAAUGUCUAAAAUGAAAAAAUAAGGUGCACAUAUUAUAUAAAGAUGGGACAUAUAUAUAUGUAUAUAUCAGAAGAGUUAGCUAAAAGUUAAAAAUAUUUGCCUCUAUGGUUGGGGGGAAAGUGGAGGGUUAUAGCAUUUUUAUAUACUUUGAGUAUUUGCAUUACUUUGCUAGAAAUAUAUUUUUUAAAGCAAGUUCCCCCAACACCCUCUGCAAAAAAAAGUCAGUAUGGCAGAUUUCAGAAAUAGUGACCUUUCUUUACCCAUGCCAGUAGAAUCCAUCAACAAGAAUGAUCUAUCUAGUCAGUCUCAUGUCACAAAGAGGGCCUUAGGGGUGCUCUUCCUGGAGGAGUUGUAUAGCUAGAUAGAGGCUAGGAUGGAAUCCAUGUGUGGGCAAAUUACCUCAGUUCUCUGGUCUCUUGUUUCAUCUGUAAAACAGGCACAAUAAUAGUCCUAACCUCAUCAGGCUGCUGAAGACUGAACAGAUGAUGUAGGUAAUGUGCUUAGCAUAGUCUCUGGCUCAUGAGUUCUUAAUAAAAAGUACUUGAUAAUAUCACUGUUAGCAGCAUUCAUCAGUCUCAAGGUGGAAACCAUCAUAUAUUAAGAUCUGGAACUAGCAGAAUCCAGAGCUUUUGACUUCAGGUUCUGAUUUGAGCAUGUGCAGAUGGAUAAACUGAGCUGUAACCCCAUGCAUCUUAUAUCAAGAGGACCAGCCACUUGGGGAUCCUCAAGGAUAUAAGUGCCCUCUCCCCUCUCCAACCUGUUUUCCCAUCACCUCCUCCUAACUUUCAUUGGGGUUUAUUUCCAGAUUCUCCCACCAGGUAUCUUAAGUGUUUUCUCCACAUGGAAAUGCUUUUCAGUAAAAUGAAAAUGACUGAACUUUUUAUAAAGUGAAGUUCAGAGUAUCCCUUCUGGGACUCUAUUUUUUCCCUUGAAAUUCUAGAUCAAAAUUUCAAAAAGGCCAGAGUGGGGUCCAUAGAAGAGCAGAAGCAAUGAGUUGGAAGGACUUCUGUGCACCUCUAUUAGUCCCACUGCAUGGAAUCCUUAGGGUUUUUUUCUCAUCCAAGAAUCUAAGAAGAGUCCAUAAAGAAGGCUGACAACAAAUGAAUGGAGAAAACACAAGCCCCAAAGCCUGCAGCACAGCCAGGGACCCUCUGUGAGCUGAGUCUGUGAGUUAGGGACCAGCUCUCUUCUCCAUGAAGCCUGCCCUGAUUCUCCCCAGAGGGAAGGCUGGCCCCCUUUUCCAAACUCCCACUACAUUUUGUCCAAACGAUGUUGGAAGCCACUGGGACUCCCCAAGAACAAUAUCCAAGUUGAAGACACCUUUUGCCACCCCCGCCAGUGGACAUGGAAGGAGUGCCGCACACACCCGCCCUGAAUGCAGAAGCAGCAGAGUUCACCCCAAGGAUUUCACCAAGCACUAGUGUUCCUUGUUUUGCUUGUUUUUGAUGCCUAAAGAGCCAACAAGUGACUAACAGACUGUUGUUCAUGGAUUGUCUAAAGUCAGCCUUCUAAUAGCACCCGAAGGGCUCCUCAUGCUGGUGCAACCCCGCUGCCACUGCUCCUGAGCCUAUGUUCCCUUCUCUCCACCAUGCACCUUCUGACAUCAUGACUCACUGGAGAACCAGGCCAGGAUCCCAACCACCCCGUGUCUCAGUGGGCCUGGGCGGGAGCCCUGUGCUGCCAGGAGGAGCAGAGAUAACAUUGAUUGUCCAGAAGCUCUACGAUGGAGACAGGUUGUCAUUGGAAGUCCAACAAGAGACAGAGGCAAGUGAGCUUUAUGGAGCACCUACUGUGUGCCAGGCCCCAUGCAACGGGCUUCUGUGGAGGCCUGCCCCUGCCAUCUUCACAACCCUCAGGUGAGCCAGCUUUAGCUUUACAUUUUAUAGAUGAAAAAAGCUGAGAGUUGAUGAGACUAAGAUACUAUUUGUGAGACCAAAAGAAAGAGGAAAAUCUCAUUUAAUCUCCAGGAUUUGUUAAAUUAGGCAAAGACAAGAAGGAACUUUUAUGUGAGGACAGACUGAAGUCCUGGCAUUUUCCAGCUCAGAAAGUCUGAGAAAGGAUAUGCUCAAGAACUAUCACAUGAAGGAAGAGCUCCUGCUUGACCGUGAGCUGGGCCGUCAAAUCCCACAUCCUCAUGGGGACUCGAUGCAGCCUGGAUAGCAGGGUGGUAAGACUCUCUGCUUCCUGAGCACAGGGUCUACCCUCCUCUUGUGAACUCUGUGUCCUUCACCAAGUCAUUGAACCUCCAUCUGCUUCCUCACCUGUUUAAGAAAGGAUGAUCGUAAUAGGACCCACAUCAUAGGGUUUUGUUAAGGGCUAAAAGAAAAAUAUGUAAAGCGCCUUGCCGAGUGCCUGGUACUACAGUAAGGAUUUGAUAAAUAUUAGCUGUUACAGUAAUUAGGAGUCAUAUUUUAUACCCUACAAGAGGCAUUUGUAGAUCAAAAGAAAUCUCACAUUACAGGGUGGGAAGUAAACUCACUAAACAUAGCCCCAAGGGUGGCACAAACGGAAAAUAUAAAUAGAAUAAAAAAGGGUUAGAUCACGAAUGGGUAACCUUUUCUCUACCAUAAGCCAGUGACACACAGGGGCAAAAAGAAAAUCCAUUUCUGGCCCCAUGUAAGUCAAAGAAGCCAUUAUAGGCUGUGAAGGGAAUUCAAUUAGUCACUGGUUGCCAUGCCAAUGCAAACAUCACCCUUCCACCUACUCUACCAUCAACACAUUUGAAUAAGUAACAAUGAUAAUAGCAUGCACUAAAAAUGCUAUUUUUAAAAAAGUUACAUGUGCUUCUUUCAAAAGUCUGGUUUUCAGAAAUAAUUGCUAUAGUCCAGAUGAGAAUUCACAUGGAAUCCCUAAAAUGGGUUGAGUAUCAUCAGAGAAGAGACAUCUGUAGAUUAUUAAGGGACUCUUAGGGUUUGGAGUUGAUUUUCUUGUGGGGGAGGGGAAAUUUUUUCAACAUUCCAAGCUUGAUCAAGCAACCCUUCAUGGUGUCAGAAAUUGAGCUCAGACAGUCCCUUGCUCAGCACUGCUCUCCUCACACCCUGAAGCCUGACCUGGAUCCCUGGUUUCAUUAUGCCUUCUUCAAGCUUUGCUUGAGUAUCUACAAUUUGGCAAUGUGUACCUAAAACUUAAAAAAAUACUUUGAUCUAAGAAUUUACUUAAAAAAAUACUUUGACCUCAGAAUCAAUCCUAAGAAAACCAAUACUGAUAUACAGAAUUUAUAGGAGCAAAAAUAAAAGUAAAGAACAGAAAUAACCAAAAUGUCCAAAUUAAAUUGUUAUACAUCCAUAUGCUAGAAUAUGAUGAGCUAUUAAAAAUGAGGCUGUCAUAAAAAUGAAUGAGAUCAUGUCCUUUGCAGGCACAUGGAUGGACCUGGAAGCCAUUAUCUUCAG
RNAcentral lists this long non-coding RNA (4400 nucleotides) under Homo sapiens (human). RNAcentral's name for it is "HSALNT0322972". Lineage: Eukaryota; Metazoa; Chordata; Mammalia; Primates; Hominidae. The record is from RNAcentral.